This 256-nucleotide non-coding RNA is filed under the name Microbulbifer rhizosphaerae. The record is from RNAcentral. Lineage: Bacteria; Pseudomonadati; Pseudomonadota; Gammaproteobacteria; Cellvibrionales; Microbulbiferaceae.
AAAGUCCCUGCCGGGUAAGGGCUAGCCGCCCACCCGUAUCGAGUGUUGAUCUCAUUGCGGAGCAGGUAACUGCGAACAAUAUAUGAGGUAAGCGUACACAGAGAAUCCAGUAGGCCGUAGGGGAGAUCGCGCUCCCUGAAGCGCUGUUACAGCUUCGAAACGUCGUCGAGGUCGCCGAGGGCUUUAACGCACUCGAAGGCAACACAAAGCAUCCGUUAAUGGCAAGGAUGUGGAGGGCCUCCGGAGUAUAGGCCGU